RNAcentral lists this long non-coding RNA (351 nucleotides) under Heterocephalus glaber (naked mole-rat). RNAcentral describes it as "lncRNA (ENSHGLG00000039014.1)". The record is from RNAcentral. Lineage: Eukaryota; Metazoa; Chordata; Mammalia; Rodentia; Bathyergidae.
GGCCAAUGUGGAUUCUCCCACCUUUGGUCCUGAGCAGAACAGGUUUUAUCCAUGGACUACAGUUUGCUGACUUCUGACAUAAUGCAUGACAAAUAAUAUAGCCUGGCUGUUCCAAAAUUCACAGUUCAGCAUUGCUGACCAACUUUACAACCCUCUUUUCACUUCACUCAAACACUUGCACCUGGACUUUGGGCCUCAGUGACUGUCAAUUCCUGUUCCCCUAACUCCACAGCUGCCUCCCCCUCACUUUCUUGCUGCUGGAGGGCAGUGGGUGUGAAAUCUGUUCUGAUGGGGCCCUCUGUAAGAGCACAGAAUACCAAGUCAGGAGUGAACACCACUAUUUAAAAUGAG